Molecule: ribosomal RNA, 302 nt
Filed under: uncultured bacterium
Lineage: Bacteria
Description: partial 16S ribosomal RNA
Rfam family: Bacterial small subunit ribosomal RNA
Source: RNAcentral
GCAGUAGCCACGGUAAUACGGAGGAUCCAAGCAUUAUCCGGAAUCAUUGGGUUUAAAGGGUCCGUAGGCGGUUUAGUAAGUCAGUGGUGAAAGCCCAUCGCUCAACGGUGGAACGGCCAUUGAUACUGCUGAACUUGAAUUAUUAGGAAGUAACUAGAAUAUGUAGUGUAGCGGUGAAAUGCUUAGAGAUUACAUGGAAUACCAAUUGCGAAGGCAGGUUACUACUAAUUGAUUGACGCUGAUGGACGAAAGCGUGGGGAGCGAACAGGAUUAGAGACCCCGGUAGUCCCUGUCUCUUAUAA